Molecule: long non-coding RNA, 320 nt
Organism: Humulus lupulus (European hop)
Lineage: Eukaryota; Viridiplantae; Streptophyta; Magnoliopsida; Rosales; Cannabaceae
Exons: 4
Source: RefSeq, a predicted model, not a curated record
UAUACAGCAGCUUCAUGACCAGCGUGUUCUUGUUAACCAGGAUUCUUUUUACCAUAAUUUGACACCAGAAGAACAUGCAAGAGUACAUGAAUACAAUUUUGAUCAUCCUGAUGCAUUUGAUAAUGAGAAACUUUUAGCUUCUAUGGAUAAGUUGAGGAAUGGGCAAGCAGUAGAUAUUCCAAACUAUGACUUCAAGAGUUACAAAAACAAUGUCUUCCCGCCUAGAAGGGUAAACCCUUCAGAUGUGAUAAUUUUGGAAGGCAUUCUCAUUUUUCAUGAUCCCCGUGUUUGAGAGUUGAUGAAUAUGAAGAUAUUUGUCG